Oncorhynchus keta (chum salmon) is the source of this 383-nucleotide long non-coding RNA. RefSeq lists it as uncharacterized. Lineage: Eukaryota; Metazoa; Chordata; Actinopteri; Salmoniformes; Salmonidae. The record is from RefSeq and is a predicted model, not a curated record. The transcript is spliced from 3 exons.
GACAGAGGGUUUAACACCACCACAUCAACAGAGCCAGGACAGAGGGUUUAACACCACAUCAACAGAGCCAGGACAGAGGGUUUAACACCACAUCAACAGAGCCAGGAGAGGUUUAACACCACAUCAACAGAGCCAGGAGAGGUUUAACACCACAUCAACAGAGCCAGGACAGAGGGUUUAACACCACAUCAACAGAGCCAGGACAGAGGGUUUAACACCACAUCAACAGAGCCAGGAGAGGUUUAACACCACAUCAACAGAGUCAGGAGAGGUUUAACACCACAUCAACAGAGCCAGGACAGAGGGUUUAACACCACAUCAACAGAGCCAGGAGAGGUUUAACACCACAUCAACAGAGCCAGGAGAGGUUUAACACCACAUCA